Molecule: ribosomal RNA, 253 nt
Filed under: uncultured bacterium
Lineage: Bacteria
Description: partial 16S ribosomal RNA
Rfam family: Bacterial small subunit ribosomal RNA
Source: RNAcentral
UACGUAGGUGGCAAGCGUUAUCCGGAUUUACUGGGUGUAAAGGGCGUGUAGGCGGGACUGCAAGUCAGAUGUGAAAACCACGGGCUCAACCUGUGGCCUGCAUUUGAAACUGUAGUUCUUGAGCACUGGAGAGGCAGACGGAAUCCCUAGUGUAGCGGUGAAAUGCGUAGAUAUUAGGAGGAACACCAGUGGCGAAGGCGGUCUGCUGGACAGCAACUGACGCUGAGGCGCGAAAGCGUGGGGAGCAAACAGG